AUUGCACUUAUAGCACCGAGCCUCUUUCUUGCUUUUGCUCUUCUGAGACUUUGAUUGUUCCUUUGACUUUCCUCUUUCUAUUCCUCUUUCUGACCUCUCUCCCACGACCAAGCCCUCCUAGGGAGCUCCAUCCUUGGUCAUCUUUUUCUGCUGUUCAUUGGAGCGUAGCACUGAGACCAUGUCUUCAUACUCCAGAGUCUCUUUGCCAUAUAAUAGCGUCGUCACCAAUGGAUC
This 234-nucleotide long non-coding RNA is filed under the name Elaeis guineensis (African oil palm). RNAcentral describes it as "long non-coding RNA (EGUI_LNC051538)". Lineage: Eukaryota; Viridiplantae; Streptophyta; Magnoliopsida; Arecales; Arecaceae. The record is from RNAcentral.